GGGAGCCCUUAUGUAGACCGGGCUAGUCCUCUCAGUUCGCUACGUAGCUAAGGAGGACUUUAUGCUUCUGAUCUCCCUACCUCCACCUCCCCUGUGUUGGGGUUCCAGCAAAGGCAACCUAAGAAAGAAGAGUUUGUUUUGGCUGGCAACGGAGAGGCAGAUGGAGCGAGGAGGCUGCUGGGUCACGUGGCGUGGCAUCCACCGUCAGGAAGCAGAGCGCAAUGAACGCUGCUCUUCUGCGCUCUGCUCGCUCCUUUUCAUUCAGUCUCCAAUCCCAUAAGUUGGCGAUGACGAUGAGCUGGAACAGCACUGGUCUCAUCCUGCUUCUGUCUGCUUUGCUGCCUUUAACCUUUGGGCCGAAAUCCUGCUCACAUACAGACCCGCUGGUGAGUUGAGAAAUAUUUUGUCUAGGGUGGGAGAAAUAGCUCAGCUAUUAAGGGUACUUGUUGCUUUUGCUGAGGACCCAGGCUCGGUUCCCAGCACCCACAUGAUGGCUCAAACUCCAGUUCCAGGGGACCUGAUGCCUUCUGGCCUCUUUGGGCAACAUGCAUGCACAUGGUGCACAUUCAUACAUACUGGCAGGCAAAACACUCAUAUAGAGUAAAUAAAUAAAUCUAAAAAACCUUUUUUUUCCUUUUUGGUUGUUUGAGACAGUGUUUCUCUGUAGCUUUGGAUGAAAAGAACUUUUUAAAAAGAGAAUGCUUUCUCCAAGGCUACAACACAGGGUUAAUCUAGUUACUUAGUCUCUUUCUUCCCCUUUCACAAUUAAGACACUCCCACUAUCCUCAAACUGGGCACGGUGGCUCCUCUUAGCACUGACCAUGGCAGAGGCGGAUGGACCUCAAGUUCAAGGACAGCCUGGCUCCAAUAAGUAAAUAGAAGCCAUGCCUUUAGGCUGCAGCUAUAGAAACCCUCUGACUCCCCCAGUCCACAGUAAGCAGCUCUUGCCAAGGGCUUGCUCGUCACGUGACUGCACAGGCCACGCCCUCAGGGAAGGGACUAUGGCAGCGCCCAGGAUGGCUUCAGAAAGCGGGCAAUCAACGAGAGGACGCUGAUGCGCCAGAGCGUCCACACCGGCGUCGUUUCUGCAGUUGCAUGCUGGGAAGGCGGGAACUCUGGGUCUAUGCACUGGACCUCCUCCCGGUUUUUAAAAGAGAGGGAAGGAAAAAAAAAAAAAAGCAAAACACCUAAACCCGAGAGACAGCAUGGUCUGACCUACCUGCGACCUCCCCACUUCUUGAGGACCCCAGGACCCAAGGCAGAAGGAUGAACUUGUGGCAUUCAAUAACUUUUUUUCCCCCAAACCCUUUGUGUCAACCCCUUGCCAACUUAUUGAGUGACCUCGGUGUCAGCCCAGCCUCUCCUUCCCAAACACACACACAUAAUCUGUUCUUUCCUCUGCGGAUCAGGAAGUCCAAUCAACCAGGGAACUCCGAACGAGACCUCAAAUAAUAAUUUCCUGGCGAUACCCCCAUCCUCCCUCCCUCCCAGCGUGAGCUCCCCAGAGUCUGGUGAUUCUGUCCCUCCCCCCUCCACCACGACCCUGUCAGGUCCCUAGAGCAGAUGAGCCCUUGGCCACCACCCCUCCAAUUUCCUGAAAACCCAGCAAACAAAAGGCUCGGGAAGGGAGGCGAA
Alexandromys fortis (reed vole) is the source of this 1635-nucleotide long non-coding RNA. RefSeq lists it as uncharacterized. The record is from RefSeq and is a predicted model, not a curated record. The transcript has 3 exons. NCBI's taxonomy places the organism in Eukaryota, Metazoa, Chordata, Mammalia, Rodentia, Cricetidae.